This 239-nucleotide unclassified non-coding RNA is filed under the name uncultured fungus. Its description in RNAcentral is "partial contains 5.8S ribosomal RNA, internal transcribed spacer 2, and large subunit ribosomal RNA". Lineage: Eukaryota; Fungi. The record is from RNAcentral.
AACGCACAUUGCGCCCCCUGGUAUUCCGGGGGGCACACCUGUUCGAGCGCCAUUUCAACCCUCAAGCCCGGCUUGGUGAUGGGCCCCGCCCGCGGGCGGGCCCGAAACUCGCAGGCGUCACCGUCCUGGCCUCAAGCGUAGCAAAACCCUCGCUUGGAUGCCCGGGUGGCGGCCGCCCUGGAACGAUUUUUAUUUACAAGGUUGGCCUCGGAUCAGGUGGGGAUACCCGCUGAACUUAA